GAUGCACAGACCUUGCCCUGGCUGGCUGCACAGGGCUGAAUUUCACCCCGUCAGAGUGUAUUCUAAGGGCCCCCCGUGCAUCAUAUGGGCAUUCUUGAGUGUGCAGAUUGCAUCAGACCUGCACCUGAAUAAUUAAUAGUGACUGAAAUAUGCAGACACUAAAGUUCUGCAGCCAAAUUCUUGGAAACCUUCCUCUUCAAUG
Mauremys reevesii (Reeves's turtle) is the source of this 202-nucleotide long non-coding RNA. RefSeq lists it as uncharacterized. The transcript is spliced from 2 exons. The record is from RefSeq and is a predicted model, not a curated record. NCBI's taxonomy places the organism in Eukaryota, Metazoa, Chordata, Testudines, Geoemydidae.